GGUCUGUUAGCUCAGUUGGUUAGAGCGUCGUACUAAUACAGUGUCUCACUGUAUCAAGUAAUGCGAAGGUCAUGAGUUCGACCCUCAUACGGACCA
This 96-nucleotide transfer RNA is filed under the name Xylaria sp. FL0933. Its description in RNAcentral is "tRNA-Ile". It matches the Rfam family "tRNA". Rfam says of the family: Transfer RNA (tRNA) molecules are approximately 80 nucleotides in length. Their secondary structure includes four short double-helical elements and three loops (D, anti-codon, and T loops). Lineage: Eukaryota; Fungi; Ascomycota; Sordariomycetes; Xylariales; Xylariaceae. The record is from RNAcentral.